This 637-nucleotide ribosomal RNA is filed under the name uncultured bacterium. RNAcentral describes it as "bacterial SSU rRNA". It matches the Rfam family "Bacterial small subunit ribosomal RNA", at positions 28 to 674 of the family's 1533-position model. The record is from RNAcentral.
GACGAACGCUGGCGGCGUGCUUAACACAUGCAAGUCGAACGAGGUCCAUCCUCACUUCGGUGAGGUGAAGACCUAGUGGCGAACGGGUGAGGAACACGUGACGAACCUGCCCCGGACUCUGGGAUAACAGGGGGAAACCCCUGCUAAUACCGGAUGUCCCUGUCGCCUGGCAUCAGAUGACAGGGAAAGCUUUUGCGGUCCGGGAGGGCGUCGCGGCCUAUCAGCUUGUUGGUGGGGUGAUGGCCCACCAAGGCGUCGACGGGUAGCUGGUCUGAGAGGACGAUCAGCCACACUGGGACUGAGACACGGCCCAGACUCCUACGGGAGGCAGCAGUGGGGAAUCUUGCGCAAUGGGCGAAGGCCUGACGCAGCAACGCCGCGUGGGGGAUGAAGGCUCUCGGGUUGUAAACUCCUUUCAGCAGGGACGAAAUUGACGGUACCUGCAGAAGAAGCCCCGGCCAACUACGUGCCAGCAGCCGCGGUAAUACGUAGGGGGCGAGCGUUGUCCGGAUUCAUUGGGCGUAAAGAGCUCGUAGGCGGCUCCGUCAGUCGGGUGUGAAACCUCCAGGCUCAACCUGGAGCUGCCACCCGAUACUGCUAUGGCUAGAGUCCGGUAGGGGACCACGGAAUCCUUGGG